GAAGAAGACUAUAGAAUUAGAUAAUGAGAACUGUUCCCAUCUGUGUUUGGCUAUAGAUGUGGCUGAAGUUGGUAGAUAUCCAGCUUCUCAGCUGCAUCCCGUUGCUGAGCCUCUGAGUCUUCCCGGGGGUCGUCCAAGCGCUUUACAGCCGUGGGCGAGUCCCAGGGGUAAGUUGUGAGCAUUUCUUUCCUUUGAGAGCUCCCAGGUGCUGAGCCUCGCGGACAGGCUGGAGGUGAGUCCUCGGGGGACCUUCCCUUCCCUGGCAAGACCAGAAGCAUGCCUUUCCUGGCGCUGUGUUGCCCUGGCGCUGGCCGGGGAGCUCUUUUGCCCGCGCAGUGUAAAUGAUCCUUCGUGUCCUCCGGUGCUAAGGGUUCCCCAUUUGUAGAGUGCUGUCCGUUAGAGAGCUCCCUGCAAGAAGGUGCCGAGGGCCUGUGUGUUUGUCCUGGGGGUGCUUGGGGGCUCUGGGAUCACGCCUUGACAGGGGAUUUUGAAAGGUGCCAGGGGGCAGCCAGGAGGUCUCCCCAGUCCCUCUGCAGCUGGGGUCUCUCCACCUGCACGUGCACCCAAGUGCUGUCGUGUUCCCUUCUCUUCACUGCGCUUGACUUCUGCAGAAGGAUGUUGCAGCCUGUAAUGUCAGCUUGUCUGUGUUCCUGUAGGCAGUGGUCUUCCAGCUUCUCAGCUGAAUCUGCUUUUUGAGCAUCAGGGGGAUGCCAGGGAUGUGGCCGACAUAGAUGGGCAUGCAGCUUCUCAGCUGGAUCCCCAUUUUGAACCUCAAGAUGGCCAUGCACCUGUUCCCCUGCAGAGGGCUUAUCCAGCUUCUCAGCUGGAUGCUGUUGCUGAGCCUCCAGGCCUUCCCAGGGGUGUUCCUGCAGGCAGGGGCCUUCCAGCUUCUCAGCUGAAUCUGCUUUUUGAGCAUCAGGG
Long non-coding RNA from Dromaius novaehollandiae (emu), 921 nucleotides. RefSeq lists it as uncharacterized. The record is from RefSeq and is a predicted model, not a curated record. The transcript is spliced from 5 exons. Lineage: Eukaryota; Metazoa; Chordata; Aves; Casuariiformes; Dromaiidae.